UUCCGGAUUAUUGGGCGUAAGAGCUCGUAGGCGGUUUGUCGCGUCUGCCGUGAAAGUCCGGGGCUCAACUCCGGAUCUGCGGUGGGUACGGGCAGACUAGAGUGAUGUAGGGGAGACUGGAAUUCCUGGUGUAGCGGUGAAAUGCGCAGAUAUCAGGAGGAACACCGAUGGCGAAGGCAGGUCUCUGGGCAUUAACUGACGCUGAGGAGCGAAAGCAUGGGGAGCGAACAGGAUUAGAUACCCUGGUAGUCCAUGCCGUAAACGUUGGGCACUAGGUGUGGGGGACAUUCCACGUUUUCCGCGCCGUAGCUAACGCAUUAAGUGCCCCGCCUGGGGAGUACGGCCGCAAGGCUAAAACUCAAAGGAAUUGACGGGGGCCCGCACAAGCGGCGGAGCAUGCGGAUUAAUUCGAUGCAACGCGAAGAACCUUACCAAGGCUUGACAUGGACCGGACCGCCGCAGAAAUGUGGUUUCCCCUUUGGGGUCGGUUCACAGGUGGUGCAUGGUUGUCGUCAGCUCGUGUCGUGAGAUGUUGGGUUAAGUCCCGCAACGAGCGCAACCCUCGUUCUAUGUUGCCAGCGCGUUAUGGCGGGGACUCAUAGGAGACUGCCGGGGUCAACUCGGAGGAAGGUGGGGACGACGUCAAAUCAUCAUGCCCCUUAUGUCUUGGGCUUCACGCAUGCUACAAUGGCCGGUACAAAGGGUUGCGAUACUGUGAGGUGGAGCUAAUCCCAAAAAGCCGGUCUCAGUUCGGAUUGGGGGUCUGCAACUCGACCCCCAUGAA
Molecule: ribosomal RNA, 784 nt
Filed under: Arthrobacter sp. CF12-4
Lineage: Bacteria; Bacillati; Actinomycetota; Actinomycetes; Micrococcales; Micrococcaceae
Description: bacterial SSU rRNA
Rfam family: Bacterial small subunit ribosomal RNA
Source: RNAcentral